AUUCCAUGAUGAGGGCACUUCAAUAAUAAUUCUUUAUACCUUUCCCAUGCCUUAUACAAUGACUCAUCAUCCAUUUGUUGGAAAGUAGUGAUCUCGUUCCUCAACUU
Gossypium raimondii (Peruvian cotton) is the source of this 107-nucleotide non-coding RNA. NCBI's taxonomy places the organism in Eukaryota, Viridiplantae, Streptophyta, Magnoliopsida, Malvales, Malvaceae. The record is from Rfam.